Molecule: ribosomal RNA, 328 nt
Filed under: uncultured Armatimonadota bacterium
Lineage: Bacteria; Bacillati; Armatimonadota
Description: bacterial SSU rRNA
Rfam family: Bacterial small subunit ribosomal RNA
Source: RNAcentral
GACGAACGCUAGCGGCGUGCCUAAGAAAUGCAAGUCGAGCGAAGAUGAGGAGCUUGCUCCGAAGUCUUAGCGGCGAACGGUCGCGUAACACGUAAGCAACCUGCCCUGAAGUGGGGGAUAGCCUUCCGAAAGGAAGAUUAAUACCGCAUGUGGAUAUCUGUUUGCAUGUAUGGAUAUCUAAAACAGCAAUGUGCUUCAGGAUGGGCUUGCGGCCUAUCAGCUAGUUGGUGUGGGUAACGGCCCACCAAGGCGACGACGGGUAGCUGGUCUGAGAGGAUGGUCAGCCGGACUGGGACUGAGAUACGGCCCAGACUCCUACGGGAGGCAG